Long non-coding RNA from Bos taurus (domestic cattle), 717 nucleotides. The record is from Ensembl. Lineage: Eukaryota; Metazoa; Chordata; Mammalia; Artiodactyla; Bovidae.
AACAGGGUCAUAAGAGUAUUUAAUAGAAAAAUGAGUCAGAGGAAAGCUUGGUUAUUUUAAUGACUGUAAAUGUGUAGUUAUCUUAGUUUUCUCCAUUAAUGGUCACAAUCAGAGUAGAAAAUAGGAUAGAUUAACUCAAUAUAGUGGAGGCAAAAGAAAUUGAUGUUUUUCAGGUGUAGCCAUGGGUAUGAAGCUGAGGACCAUGGGAAAUAAGAGGUCAAGGAAUUAUGAGAUUCGGCUGUUAUCUGGCAAUCUUCAUAGAUACUGGUCUCCAGAGGAUGUAAAGAUUAAAAACGAAUGCCUGUGCUUCUUCCAGCCCAGCAUUUCUCAUGAUGUACUCUGCUGCUCCUGCUGCUAAGUCACUUCAGUCAUGUCCGACUCUGUGCGACCACACAGACGUCAGCCAAGCAGGCUCCCCCAUCCCUGGGAUUCUCCAGGCAAGAACAUAGGAGUGGGUUGCCAUUUCCUUCUCCAAUGCAUGAAAGUGAAAAGUGAAAGUGAAGUCACUCAGUCGUGUCCGACUGCAGCGAGACCAUGGACUGCAGCCUACCAGGCUCCUCCGUCAAUGGGAUUUUCCAGGCAAGAAUGUUGGCGGUUUGAUAUCUGGUUCCUCUGCCUUCUCUAAAACCAGCUUGAACAUCUGGAAGUUCACGGUUCACGUAUUGCUGAGGCCUGGAUUGGAGAACUUUGAGCAUUACUUUACUGGCAUGUGAGAUG